Molecule: ribosomal RNA, 516 nt
Filed under: embryophyte environmental sample
Lineage: Eukaryota; Viridiplantae; Streptophyta
Description: eukaryotic LSU rRNA
Rfam family: 5.8S ribosomal RNA (bases 102-257)
Source: RNAcentral
CCCCGGCGCGGUCCGCGCCAAGGAACUUUAACGAAAGAGUGCCUUCGGCCGCCUCGGAAACGGUGUGCGUGCGGGAGGUGAAUCUUGUCUAGAACCAUAACGACUCUCGGCAACGGAUAUCUCGGCUCUCGCAUCGAUGAAGAACGUAGCGAAAUGCGAUACUUGGUGUGAAUUGCAGAAUCCCGCGAAUCAUCGAGUCUUUGAACGCAAGUUGCGCCCGAAGCCACCUGGCCGAGGGCACGUCUGCCUGGGUGUCACGCAUCGUUGCCCCCAACCCCAUCUCCUUGCAAAGGGACGAGGGGGCCUGUGGGGCAGAAAUUGGCCUCCCGUGAGCUCAUGCAUGCGGUUGGCCUAAAAGCGAGUCCUCGGCGACGCGCGCCACGACAAUCGGUGGUUGUCAAACCCUCGUGUCCCGUCGUGCGUGCCGCGUCGCUCAUCGUGUGCUCCUUGACCCUGCUGUGUCGCGCUAGCGACGCUUCCAACGCGACCCCAGGUCAGGCGGGACUACCCGCUGAA